CCUCUCUACACACACAGCAUGUCCUUUCUGACUCGGUUCGUUCAUGAUUCGCCCGAGAUAAGUUGAACGGAGUUAUCGCAACAUCAUUCGCGUUUCAUCCCUUAGCCAGGCAAUAUUAAUUUAAGUUACGCAAAGAACGUUGCAAAGCCGCGUCAUGGCCAAAACGGCCUUGCAGGGUGGUCACUUUAACCCCCUUAGUUAUCUGUAGAAUAUUGUAAUAUAAUUUCGAAAGUAAAAUUCUAAUUCGAAGCCAGAUAAGGAUCGAGUCCCAAACAAAGUUGUAGGAAACAGUCCAACUUGUAACCGCAAUCCGAAACAAACGAGUUCCAAAAAACGCGUUCGGUCGAAAUCGCGAGUAGUUCUUUUAAAACAUCGCCGAAACCGAAAGGCUAACGAAUUCUCUCUCAUCCGGCUUGAAAGGAUUUCAUUUAACCAAAAAAAAAGAUACUGUUCUUCGUUGGUUUGUUAGUGAAAAGAAUGAGGUUCGUUUUCUUGUUAAUCCCGUGCAGAUUCGUUCUGUAAGUGUCCAACCAGAUCCGGUGUAAGAAUCAUUCAAAACAAAUUGCAUAGUGAUAGUGCAUUCGGAAGGAUACACUUUCAAAUUCCUUCAAUCACCCGCGAAGUGUUAAAAACUCAUCGGAAUUGGUGAGAUAAUAGAAAAGUGUUAAGGCUCGUUGAUCGGUUGAUCCUUUUUCAAAAUUACGUCACAAAUUUGAGAUUGUUCCAAUGCUGGUUACCAUCAACAUUCGGCAAAUUCCAAAGGUAUACCUACGUUGAACAUCGGUGCCCCGUAAUGGACUAAUUAGCCCGUAAUAAUCGAAGUGAAAGGACGAUUUCAUCUGCUGGAAGAAAAUAGCUUUUGUCACCAGAGAACAUCAAUAACUCUAAAUUCAAGCCAACCAUCUCUCCCACAUGUGCUCAGAACCCACCUUUGAAGAAAUCCUUCACGAAAAGCUUAACCGAUUUUUGGCAAAUCGUCAAGUGGAAUUCCAAUACAAGCACUGAAAUCCAAAUGCAAGGGACAACAAAACUAUAGAAGAAUCUAAAUCAAAGGCUGACCAGUUAACUACUCCCGAGACUGGACAAUAGUACGAGGUGUUUUUCCAUUCAUCUGUAGGUAGACAAAUUCCGGAAUAGAAGGAAGAUCAUUCCACGAAAAAGGAGCGACCAAAUCUAGAUCGCUGAGCAUUAGUAGUUGAGCUGUCAACUGGGAUAUUACGUUUCCUGAGUCUACAAUAAAAGCAUUUCAGGCCUGCCGGAAAACCUACUCCUUUUCCCGCCUUUUCAUUAGCCCCCCCGAAGUUAACAUAACUGAGCCCAUCCCUCCCAUCUCCACGUUUCAUCUUCAAGUCCCGCAUAAAAUGUUACGCGAAACGAUACAAAUGUUGGCAUACCUUAGUGUGCUCUACGGAAGCGCCUACCCGUUGCACAUGGCCAGGGAUUCAUAUCGUCGACAAAUGCCCGAUUUAGAUAUAGUCGAAAUAGCGAACAGUAGACUGUCUUCUAGCGAUAGUGAGAACGGCGCCAGUAUUAUCGGACAUAGUAAGUCCUUGCAAUCUUCCCCCCUACUAGUAGGCGCCUCCUCAGUGACAGGUGGUAUGGACAAAUCGAUGUCACCACCGUCAAUAGCAAAACCUAAUCUGGACGGUGAAAGUACUCUAAUUGACGCUAGUGGUCCUCUGCUUUCAUCGAUGUUCCGCGAAAAUGAAUUCGCCAGUAAACACUUGUUGGGACAUCAUGUUCCGCGACCCGCCUACAUUAACAACGACGAUAUCGCUAGACGAGAUAUCGACGACUAUCGUAGACUCGAACCACCGCUAGCAUUACAGGAAUUAUUCGAUAGUUCUAGUCGAUUAGAUGAGCCAAUAGUCGAACAACAUGCGAAAUUCGAUAUAAGGAUGCAACAGAAGCAACAGAAGAAGAACCAGAAACAACAGUCACAACAGCAACAAAAGCAGAAGCAGCAACAAAUGCAACAACUGCAUGAUCAGCAGCAACAGAUUCAUCAGAGUAAACGGGCUCCCAUUCCCAACAGCGGAGGUCCUGGCGGAAUAGGAAACAACGGACCACCUGACUUACAAAUGGCCUCACACGGAAUUGCCAGUCAAUUGAUGUUGCGCAGUCCUCGCGGACAGCGACAGUAUGAUGUUCCACAAAUUGAAUGUCCUCCUGCGAUAGAUGGUAUGGAAAGAUUUGCGUGCCCAACACCAGACAGGCAAGGCAGAUAUCGAUGUAUAGACGACCAUGUAUUAUGUGAUGGCUUCAUAGACUGUCCGGAGGGUGAAGAUGAAGACCGACAGGCUUGUAUGUUCUACAAAACGACAAAGGCCCAUCUAGAUGUGUUAGCCGAUGCGUUAUUACGUUGGGCGCGAGGUCGCUAAAGGCUCGAAUCCAACUCUAUGUAAAGCGAUCAAACAAAUCUGGAGAGUAGAGCGAAGCAACAAGAAGAAAUCUCACGCGAAAUGACUGGUAUACAAAUUAUAUAUAUAGUAAUACACAAAAUUAUACUAUUAAAUUUACUCAAUAAAAACAAAGAAAAAAAAACCAACAACUUCAAAACUAAGUGAAAUUCCAGCACGAUCGAAAGUUUCACAGUAAAGCAAUGAAACUACCCCAAAAAACCAUUGACCGAAACAUAAGUGAAGAGGAUAUCUUACGAAAUAAUAACAAUAAUAUUAUUUAUAAUGUAAAACUUACUGAAGGGACAUAAGACUUACAGAAUUAGUAGAAGUAAAUCAAUGAUCAGCAUAGACGAAGAAAACAAGAAAAAAAAUAAAUGGAUAUCUAAUGUUAAGAUAAAUGAAUCCUAUCUUAAUCAAUUAGGAUACAAUGAACAAACAGUGAAGAGAAAAAUAAAAACGUAAAAACAAGUCAUGUUUUAGGAAUUUGCUAUUUUUUUUCUAAAUGUGUAAACUAAAUCAAUUGUAUAUUACUAAUAAAUAAUGGCAAGGUUAUAAACAAACAAUAUUGAUGUAGUGAUCUUAUUUGUUUAUAUCUAAAUGUUCAUUUAUUUAUACUUCAAUGUGAAUUUCUACCAGCUAUUCAUUUCUUCUUAAACCAUUACUGAAAGAAAAUCCAUUAAAUCAAUAAAUCUAUGUGACUAAUUCAAACUAAAAAGCAGCAUGUGAAGGCCAAAAUGUGUACAAUCAAAUGCUAAUUUUUUUCUUAUUUUUUUUAAAGUAUCUUUUUUACUAAACAACCAUUAUUUCAUUCCCUUUCAGUUCCCAAGAAGUUUGAAAAAAAAAAAAAACAAUUAUAUUAUUCUAGUAAUGACGAAUUUCAACCGCCGAAUUUAAAUUGAAAUUAAAAAAAUUUCCGAAGAAACAUAUAAUAUCCAAAAACAGCAUUCAGCAUAACCAUCAAUUGUAUUCAUACAUACACAUUUACAAGGAAAAUGAAUAAAACUACUCUCAUGGAAAUGAUGGCAGCUAUAAAAACAAAAACGUGUAGAUAAAUAUAUUUAAAGUAAUAUGAAUAAAUAUAUAUGAAUGAUUUAUAAAAUUAAUGCAAAACCUUAUUGAAAAAAAAUCUAUAUAUAUAUACAUU
RNAcentral lists this unclassified non-coding RNA (3546 nucleotides) under Hermetia illucens (black soldier fly). RNAcentral's name for it is "cCR4-Not complex 3'-5'-exoribonuclease subunit Ccr4, transcript variant X1". Lineage: Eukaryota; Metazoa; Arthropoda; Insecta; Diptera; Stratiomyidae. The record is from RNAcentral.